This 1587-nucleotide unclassified non-coding RNA is filed under the name Haliotis rufescens (red abalone). Its description in RNAcentral is "phytanoyl-CoA hydroxylase-interacting protein-like, transcript variant X2". Lineage: Eukaryota; Metazoa; Mollusca; Gastropoda; Lepetellida; Haliotidae. The record is from RNAcentral.
CUAUUGCACAACAGUACUCUGUUUCUAAUAAUAGAGCCAACAUAUGCACAGAACGGGAAUCGGCAACCAUAUUGCAAUCAUGGCUGUGGGAGGAAGCACCGAUGCAGGAAAAGAAUAUCUUCAGAAGCUGUUAGAUAAAGCUAAUGAUCACAGCCAGAGUGGCACAUCUGAAGAUGUAUAUUACCUGUACCGGAAUAAACCCAACAGCUACUUUCAGGAUAUCAACAAUAACUACAAUGGCAUCAUGAAAAAGAGACUCAAAGACAGUGGAGGUGAUCCACGCUGUCCAAUCAAUAGCAGACUUGGCGGCCUCUUUUUUGGGGUUACACUACACGGAGGUGUUAUACCAGAUAAAUCGCCAUUUGGAAACACAAGAGUUAAAGUUCCGCUGAGUGAGGUGUUUCAUGGCACAUCAAAUUUGUACUUUGCCGAUUUCUUUUGCAAACCUUCACGCAACCGAAUACAUUAUGUUACCUUGGUUCUGACAAAGGCUGAUUCAGAAGCAGAUAUGUUCUGUAGAGAGAACCUGAUCAAACUCAAUGUCAUGAACAACUUGUACUUGCGAAAGCAAAGCCUGGGGUAUUCAACACUGAAACGAUCCAAAGUGUUUGUUGAUGUGUUCUAUACAGAAGAUAUAGACAUAUCAAACAGGAUCCUCAGUUCUACAGGGAUAUAUGGACGAGGGCAAAGUGUUGGGGGAAUACCAAAAGCUGGUGGGUGUGGGAUUUGCAAUGUCGGAGUCCAACCCAGCAGAAGAUAUGUACAUCACGUGGAAUAUGACGAUCUUUUUGACUAUGACGAUCGUUUUGACGAUGACGUUCGUUUUGACGAUGACGAUCUUUUUGGAUACACAAACAAUCCUUUUGAGGACUAUUAUGAUGAUAUGGGUAUUGGCUAUGAUUUUGAUGAUUACUAUUGAUACCUCGAUUGAUGGGACUAUAUUAAAUAAUCUUGAGCAGAUUCAAUGACAGAUCGCCCGAGUAGGUGCUUGUAUUAGUAUAAUGUGUAUAUACUAUGACAUGUCUUUAGAGUAAUGUGUCACACUGUAUAUAUAUUUUUUUUCGUACUGACAAUAUUAUUUUAUUUCACUAUCAGAUGAGAUACACAUGUAGAGUUGCUUUUUAGCUCAUGGAUUUGAUUAUAAAUGUGUGGCAACAUUAGUCUAAAAAGGUACUGUGUUUAAUGCAUGUUGGUGUGGAUUUCUGAAAUCUGGGAUUGUAAUCAUUUCAAGAUACUGUUUUACCUACAACGAAUGAAACCAGACAAAUUGAUUCAUGUGAAAAAAAUAACGUAGGAACCAUUUUGCAUUUUAUAAUUAAUUAAUCAUGAAACAUCUAUAUAAUCAUCAAGUCACUGUCUUCUUUUUACCAACAAAUAUGAGGCAGAAAAUGACAUCCAAUAUCCACUUUGUCACACAAACCCAUUACAAAUACUAAACUGUGAUAGAAAUAUCUAAAUAGCUAGAAAAUAUGUGUGUGUGUGUGUGUGUGUGUGUGUGUGUGUGUGUGUGUGUGUGUGUGUGUGUGUGUGUGUGUGUGUGUGUGUGUGUGUGUGUGUGUGUGUGUGUGUGUGUGUGUGUGUGUGUGU